RNAcentral lists this transfer RNA (32 nucleotides) under Chrosomus eos (northern redbelly dace). RNAcentral describes it as "partial tRNA-Glu". Lineage: Eukaryota; Metazoa; Chordata; Actinopteri; Cypriniformes; Leuciscidae. The record is from RNAcentral.
AAUUCCCACUCGGGUACUAACCGAGACCAAUG